GUAAACAAUGAGAAUUGAGGCGUUGGGGUUAUGUCCACCUUCUGAGGUAUACGUCUCUAUUGGCUAUGAGUGUGUAGAGUCUUGACAUGUAAUUGCUUAUAGAGAAUUGUAGUCGAUGGUAAAUCCAAGCGUCUCUCGACCUAAACAAGGACUAUUUCACUUUAACUCUCUCGAGCUUAAAGCGUGACUAACGGUACGAAUUCUCCAAGAAGUUAGUCCAGGUACGGCACUAGCUUUUUAAUAGGAAAGGGUGUCCUACUACCUUGACAUUAUCUCUUUUCCAGACAAAUAACUUUUCUCUCGAACAAGUCAGAUGUUAGACUGGCGUUGGUCUAUGCGUCUUCUUUUCUAUACAAAUAACCUUUCUCUCGAACAGGUUAGAUGUUAGAAUGGCGUGUUCUUGUGUUUGAACCGCAAAGAAUGUAGAUUUAAGAUGAAGAGAAUAAUGAUAUAAGCAAUAUACUUGUCUUGAACUCACAAACUCAUAGCUAUAGAUAGUAACUCAUUCGGCUUCCAUAACCCCAACUAAGAGAUUUAGUUACCCAUGAAUGCGAAGGAUAUCACGCUUUGCAUGGUGGAUGGCGUGAAUAGUAGGUGUUUGGCGUGUGGUUUUAGUGAUUCCGUAGCAAGUAACGAUUCUCUUGUUGUGGAAUUUAAGAGUAGAAGAAUGAAGAAUUGAGAAUGGGUUGUAGGAAGAUGUCUUAAUUGUAAGGAGAUGAAUGAAUUGUC
This 729-nucleotide long non-coding RNA is filed under the name Capsicum annuum. Its description in RNAcentral is "long non-coding RNA (CANN_LNC002016)". The record is from RNAcentral. Lineage: Eukaryota; Viridiplantae; Streptophyta; Magnoliopsida; Solanales; Solanaceae.